AUGGUUGCUGAGUGGUCAGUUGGGCUUUUCGACUGCUUUGGGGAUUUCCGCACCUGUUGCUUGACUUGCUGGUGCCCCUGUGUUACCUUUGGCCGCAUUGCUGAGAUUGCAGACAAAGGCUCCACAUCAUGCUGCAUGCAUGGGACCCUGUAUGUUUUGCUAGGAUCCAUAGGCUGCAACUGGUUGUAUUCUUGUACCAAACGUUCCUCAAUGUGGGCACAGUACAACUUCCAAGGAUCACCCUGCAUGGACUGCUUUGUUCACAUGUGCUGUGAGAGUUGCGCACUAUGCCAAGAGUACAAGCAGCUGGAAAAUCGUGGCUUCAACAUGUCCAAAGGUAUCUCUCCUUGCUGA
This 354-nucleotide ribosomal RNA is filed under the name Triticum aestivum (bread wheat). Its description in RNAcentral is "partial small subunit ribosomal RNA". The record is from RNAcentral. Lineage: Eukaryota; Viridiplantae; Streptophyta; Magnoliopsida; Poales; Poaceae.